Molecule: ribosomal RNA, 357 nt
Filed under: Triticum aestivum (bread wheat)
Lineage: Eukaryota; Viridiplantae; Streptophyta; Magnoliopsida; Poales; Poaceae
Description: partial small subunit ribosomal RNA
Source: RNAcentral
AUGUCUUCUUCAAGCUCCCGCGCCACCUCGUGGAUGCAGAGCCCGGCGCGUGAGAUGCCUAUCUUCGUCAGUCCGCGGUGCCGGGCGGGCGUUGAUCGCAGGGUUUCUCACACAUCGAGGAACCAGAAUCGUCUGUUCUACGUGUGCAGCGAGAAUGGGGUGAAAUGCUUCUUUGUUUGGGUCGAUGCUCUGGCCAAGACUCCGAUGAAUGAACUGCAAGAAGAGCAUGAAGAAUGGUUGCGCAUGCUGCCACGAACGGCAGUGGCCGCAGCACGAGCUCCGGAAGAAGAGAUGGAGGGCGAAGCACGCAAUGACAGAGAGCUAGCUGUUGAGCUUAGUGAAGGAAAUAUGCCCUAG